RNAcentral lists this ribosomal RNA (253 nucleotides) under uncultured bacterium. Its description in RNAcentral is "partial 16S ribosomal RNA". It matches the Rfam family "Bacterial small subunit ribosomal RNA", at positions 524 to 776 of the family's 1533-position model. The record is from RNAcentral.
UACGUAGGCAGCAAGCGUUGUUCGGAGUUACUGGGCGUAAAGGGUGCGUAGGCGGCUUUUUAAGUUUGGUGUGAAAUCUCCCGGCUCAACCGGGAGGGUGCGCCGAAUACUGAGAGGCUAGAGUGUGGGAGAGGAAAGUGGAAUUCCUGGUGUAGCGGUGAAAUGCGUAGAUAUCAGGAGGAACACCGGUGGUGUAAACGGCUUUCUGGACCAUAACUGACGCUGAGGCACGAAAGCGUGGGGAGCAAACAGG